This 492-nucleotide ribosomal RNA is filed under the name uncultured bacterium. RNAcentral describes it as "partial 16S ribosomal RNA". It matches the Rfam family "Bacterial small subunit ribosomal RNA", at positions 29 to 507 of the family's 1533-position model. The record is from RNAcentral.
AGUGAACGCUGGCGGUAGGCCUAACACAUGCGAGUCGAACGGCAGCACAGUAAGAGCUUGCUCUUACGGGUGGCGAGUGGCGGACGGGUGAGGAAUACAUCGGAAUCUACUUUUUCGUGGGGGAUAACGUAGGGAAACUUACGCUAAUACCGCAUACGACCUACGGGUGAAAGCAGGGGAUCUUCGGACCUUGCGCGAUUGAAUGAGCCGAUGUCGGAUUAGCUAGUUGGCAGGGUAAAGGCCCACCAAGGCGACGAUCCGUAGCUGGUCUGAGAGGAUGAUCAGCCACACUGGAACUGAGACACGGUCCAGACUCCUACGGGAGGCAGCAGUGGGGAAUAUUGGACAAUGGGCGCAAGCCUGAUCCAGCCAUACCGCGUGGGUGAAGAAGGCCUUCGGGUUGUAAAGCCCUUUUGUUGGGAAAGAAAAGCAGCAGGUUAAUACCCCGCUGUUCUGACGGUACCCAAAGAAUAAGCACCGGCUAACUUCGUG